Molecule: ribosomal RNA, 2494 nt
Filed under: Palaemon varians (Atlantic ditch shrimp)
Lineage: Eukaryota; Metazoa; Arthropoda; Malacostraca; Decapoda; Palaemonidae
Description: eukaryotic LSU rRNA
Rfam family: Eukaryotic large subunit ribosomal RNA
Source: RNAcentral
ACCCGCCAAAUUUAAGCAUAUUACUAAGCGGAGGAAUUGAAAACAACUGUGACAUCUUAAGUAGUGGCGAACGAAACAGAUACAGCACAACGGUAUAAGCCUGCUCCCAGGUUUUUUUCCCGCAUUGUUCGGACGACUUCAACUUGCUUUGCUCGCUGGAACGCGAGGUCGACAACGGUGAAAGUCCGUGUAAGCAGGUUCUGUUGUUUGUGACUUUGUCAAAGAGUAGGGUUCUUUCAAAUUGGAAUCUGAAGCGGAGGUAACUUUCUCCGAUUGCUAAGCAUGUGAUAGGCCCGAUAGCGUAUUAAGUACCGUGAGGGAACGGUGAAAAGACAGCUCGAAAGCUAGUGAUAAGACCUGAGACCAUAACAGUAGAAGGCAAUGGAACUUCGCGGCAACUUGAUUCAUCGUGAACUCGAGCCUGCGUUUCUCAUUGUCGUUGGGCACUUUGAUCCCAUCGACAUAAAGGAAAAGAGUUUCAUUGCGCCCGUCUUGAAACACGGACUGAGGAGUCAUUCGCCGCUGCAAGUAGAAAGUAUUUAAAAUACUGCAGCGCCAUGAGCAGCGUCGAAUGGACCCGAAAGGUGGUGAACUAUUCUUGGGAAAGUUGACGUCAGAGGAAACUCUGACAGAGGACUUGUGUGUUACUGACGUGCAAUUCGUUCAUUUUACCUGUGAAUAGGGGCGAAAGACUAAUCGAACCACCUAGUAGCUGGUUCCCUCCGAAGUUUCUCCUAGGAUAGCGGGCAAGUUUAACUAUCAUGUAUAGUAGAGCAAUGUUUGGCGGAAACGGGUUUGAAUUAACUUGACCGACUCACAAACUACAAACGUACAUAAGGUCGAAUGAUUAACGUAUUCGAUCUAGAGAAGUACUUGCCUAGUGGACCGUUUUUGGUAAGCAGAUACGGUGCUUUGGAAUGCUCCAAGCGCAAUGAUAAGGCAUAUCGUCGUUGGCUUAUUGCUUCAAAAAGGUGUUAAUACAUACAGACAGUCCGACGGUGGCCAUGGAAGUUGGAANNUAAGGAGUGUGUAACAACUCACGGACCGAAUGUAUUAGCCCUUAAAAUUGACUGUGCUCAAGCCGUCGAGCCGAAACAUUGCAGGGCAGCAGGUUCUGUCUUUGUAGGGGGGUGUGCCUGUUGAUUGGAUGAUUUGAUGUGAGUCAAAUUUGAUCUUCAGGCAGUGCAGAUCUCAGUAGAAGUAGCAGUGUUUGAGUAGUAUCCUUAAAGACGGAUGUAGAAAAGGUUUUCAUAGACACAUCGCUUGGCUAUGAGUAAGUCGAUCUUAACACAGCGAACCUGUGGAAAAGGGGAGAGGUUAGCAUUCCUCUACUCACUCCAUCCGCUCAAUCUGGCGACACGUUUAUCUCUCACGUAACUUCAUGUUUGCGAGUUUGUGCGUUAUCUAUGCACUAUAACCGUUCGUUUUCUGCUGAAGAGGAUUGCCCUAAGAUGUAGAAGCAGGUCGGGAAAUAUGACUCUCGGGUCAACUCGUUGGACUUGUUGUACUUCAAGUGUGAGAUGGUUAGCGGUGAGUGAAUCGUACCAACAACCGCAUCAGGUCUCUAAGGUUCAUAACCUUUCGUUUAUGGAAUAAAAUAGGUGAGGGAAAUCGGCAAAUUAGAUCUGUAACCUUGGGAAAAGGAUUGGCUCUGCGGGCAUUCUGAAGUGGCCUUUUUUUGUGCAUUGCGCUGAACUCUGUUUGAUGUGAUGUCACUUUUUUGUGCCUAUUCAGAUUUCUGCCACAGUAGAACUGAGACUAUGAGGGGAAUCCGACAGUUUAACUAAAACCAAGCAUUCUGAGAGUGUCUACACUGCAACACAGAAUGUGAAUUCUGCCCGGUGCUUUGAAUGUCAAUGUGAGGAGACUCAUACAAGCGCGGGUUAACGGCAGGCGUAACUAUGACGCUUUCAACGUAGCAAAAUGCCUCGUCAUCUAAUUAGUGACUCGCAUGAACGGAUUAAUGAGAUUCCUACUGUCCCCAUCUAUUUUCCAGCGAACCUACAGGUCAGGGAACGGGCUGGCCUUUGACAGAACGGCAAGAAGACCCUGUUGAGGUUGACUCUAGCUAGUUUUUGUACAGUAGCUCAAAUAGAGUAGCGUAUGUGGGAGCGUCAGCAAAAGUGAAACACCACAAUAUUUGAAGCCGCUGAACUUACUUUUUUACCGAAUAGACAUGCUAUCAAAGAAGAGCAUAGGUCAAAAAAGGACAUUCACUGGUGGGGAGUUUGGCUGGGGCGGUACAUCUGUUAAAAGCCACCACAGGUGUCCAAAGGCUAUCUCAAUAAGAACAGAAAUCUUACGUGGACUAAAAGGAGAAAAGAUAGCUUAAUUCAUUCGUUUACAAGCUGAAUGGAGUGUGAAAGCAUGGCCUAUCGAUCCCUUCGAGGAGCAGAAGUUGCGCCGAGGGGUGUCUGAAAACUUACCACAGGGAUAACUGAUUUGUGGCAGCCAAGCGUUCAUAGCGACGUCGCUUUUUGAUCCUUCGAUGUCG